UGGAGCAUGUGGUUUAAUUCGAUGCAACGCGAAGAACCUUACCUGGGCUUGACAUCCCGAGAAUCUUCUGGAAACAGGAGAGUGCCCUUCGGGGAACUCGGUGACAGGUGCUGCAUGGCUGUCGUCAGCUCAUGCCGUGAGGUGUUAGGUUAAGUCCUGCAACGAGCGCAACCCUCGUCGCUAGUUGUUUUCUCUAGCGAUACUGCCCGUAUAACGUGGAGGAAGGUGGGGAUGACGUCAAGUCAGCAUGGCCCUUACAUCCUGGGCUACACACACGCUACAAUGGGUGAUACAACAGGUUGCAAUAGAGUAAUCUGGAGCCAAUCCCUAAAAUCAUCCUCAGUACGGAUUGCAGGCUGCAACUGCCUGCAUGAAGUUGGAGUUGCUAGUAAACGCAGGUCAGCACACUGCGUUGAAUACGUUCUCGGGCCUU
This 433-nucleotide ribosomal RNA is filed under the name uncultured Chloroflexota bacterium. Its description in RNAcentral is "bacterial SSU rRNA". It matches the Rfam family "Bacterial small subunit ribosomal RNA", at positions 933 to 1382 of the family's 1533-position model. Lineage: Bacteria; Bacillati; Chloroflexota. The record is from RNAcentral.